CUUCACGAGAUGUCGUCGCCAAGCUCCGACUAGACGGCACGCCAACCCCACGCUCGUGGGUGGCUCGGAUGACGAAGCGGCCGACGCCAACCGGCACCGGCAAGAGCGCCUC
Molecule: non-coding RNA, 112 nt
Filed under: Mycobacterium celatum
Lineage: Bacteria; Bacillati; Actinomycetota; Actinomycetes; Mycobacteriales; Mycobacteriaceae
Description: SAM-IV sequence
Rfam family: SAM (S-adenosyl methionine) riboswitch aptamer
About the family: SAM-IV is a mRNA element that regulates gene expression via direct sensing of S-adenosylmethionine (SAM or AdoMet). SAM-IV riboswitches share conserved nucleotide positions with the previously described SAM-I riboswitches sequence analysis and molecular recognition experiments suggest that SAM-I and SAM-IV riboswitches share similar ligand binding sites, but have different scaffolds.
Source: RNAcentral